Molecule: ribosomal RNA, 465 nt
Filed under: uncultured bacterium
Lineage: Bacteria
Description: bacterial SSU rRNA
Rfam family: Bacterial small subunit ribosomal RNA
Source: RNAcentral
CCCAGACUCCUACGGGAGGCAGCAGUGAGGAAUAUUGGUCAAUGGCCGGAGGGCUGAACCAGCCAAGCCGCGUGAGGGAGGAAGGCGCAGAGCGUCGCAGACCUCUUUUGCCGGGGGACAAAAGGCCGGACUCGUCCGGUCCUGAGGGUACCCGGAGAAAAAGCAUCGGCUAACUACGUGCCAGCAGCCGCGGUAAUACGUAGGGGGCAAGCGUUAUCCGGAUUUACUGGGUGUAAAGGGAGCGUAGACGGCAUGGCAAGUCAGAUGUGAAAGCCCGGGGCUCAACCCCAGGACUGCAUUUGAAACUGUCAGGCUGGAGUGCAGGAGAGGUAAGUGGAAUUCCUAGUGUAGCGGUGAAAUGCGUAGAUAUUAGGAGGAACACCAGUGGCGAAGGCGGCUUACUGGACUGUAACUGACGUUGAGGCUCGAAAGCGUGGGGAGCAAACAGGAUUAGAUACCCGCGUA